This 2438-nucleotide unclassified non-coding RNA is filed under the name Hevea brasiliensis (rubber tree). Lineage: Eukaryota; Viridiplantae; Streptophyta; Magnoliopsida; Malpighiales; Euphorbiaceae. The record is from RNAcentral.
GUAAAUUCUUAUCAGCGAUUAGCCAUUUUGUUCCCAUUUCCUCUCUGCUCUUCCGAGUCUUCUCCAAAGCGAAGUGAGAAGCAAACCAUGAGCAAUCGCAGCUUCUUGGGAUUGGAGCUAUUAACCUCUACAACCCAAUUCUCAGUCUUCACCACCACCGCCGCCGCCGCCGCUGCUUUCUGCUCUUUUAAUGAAAAAGUUUCACCAGCAACCCUCAAAUUUCCCUCUAUAUCGUCUCCCUCUCUUUUCCCGCCCACCAAACACAGAACAAGAGCAAAAAGUCACAGCUUUAACAUCAGUUCUAUAGCAAGUGGUGUUGCAAAUGUUGAAGUGGAAAAACAAGUUGAGGUGGAAGUUGCAGAAGGUUACACUAUGACCCAAUUUUGCGAUAAGAUAAUUGAUGUGUUUUUGAAUGAGAAGCCUAGAGUUAGAGAAUGGAGAAAGUAUUUGGUGUUUAGGGAAGAGUGGAACAAGUACAGAGAAAGAUUCUACAAUAGGUGCCAAACGCGGGCUGAUAUGGAGACUGAUCCAACUUUGAAGCAGAAAUUUGCUUCACUUGCGGCUAAAGUGAAGAGGGUAUGUUACCCAUGUCUUAUUUUCUUUCUCUCCAUUGUCCCCCUGAGAAUUUCUGUUAUUGUUAGCUUUGAAUUUGCAGUUAUUGCUUCGUUUGUUUGGUUCCAAAGAAAUGACAGUCGCAAACUAAAAACCAAUUGGUAGAGUGGGAUUUUGAUUUUGUUUUGGACGUUAGUUUUCUUCCCUUUUUCUAACGGCCAAACAGAGGGUUGAUUGGCUAUAGACACUCUUUUGGGUUUAGAGCUUCAUUUAAUUCUGUGUACUCAGGAAUAAGCAUUGCAGAUUGAUGAAGAAAUGGAAAAAAACUCUCAACUUCUGAAGGAAAUUCAAGACAACCCAACUGAUUUAAAUGCAAUUGUCACAAAGCGGCGCAAGGACUUCACAGGGGAGUUCUUCCGUUACCUAACCCUUCUUUCAGAAACUUAUGAUGCUUUGGAGGACCGUGAUGGUACAUUACUGGAUCUAAAUUGCUUGGUUUGUUUUAGAUUAUUUGGAAUCAGGAUGAUGAUUGUAAAAUAAUAUAUUCUGUUAACUAUUGGCAACUCGCCCUUUGUUUCAAAGAAUUGUCUGCUUUUAUAUUAAUACAUCUGCAUAAUAGCUAUGACUAUGAGCCAUAUGAUAAAAAUUUUCCUACUACACUAAUCUUGUUAUUGCCCUUAAUGACAAAUUUUCUGAAAAUGAUUACCUAUAAAGGUUUAGGUCACUCAUCUGAUAUGAAUAUCUAUUUAUUUGAACAGCAAUAGCCAGGCUAGCGACUAGAUGCUUGUCUGCUAUUAGUGCAUUUGACAGGACACUGGAGAAUGUGGAGACAUUAGAUGCUGCCCAGGCCAAAUUUGAUGAAAUUCUUAACUCUCCUUCAGUGGAUGUUGCAUGCGAAAAUAUCAAAAGCCUAGCCAAGACAAAAGAACUUGACUCUUCAUUGAUUCUAUUUAUAAACAGUGCUUGGGCAGCAGCAAAAGAUUCCACGCAUAUGAAAAAUGAGGUUAAGGAGAUCAUGUAUCGCAUCUACAAAGCCACAAAGAGCAGCCUUAGAAGCAUGGCCCCUAAAGAAAUAAAGCUACUUAAGCAUUUGCUGAACAUUGCAGAUCCUGAGGAGCGAUUUUCAGCAUUAGCAACAGCAUUCUGUCCAGGUGAUGAACGUGAAGCCAAGGACCCUUAUGCUUUAUACACUACUCCAAAAGAACUGCACAAGUGGAUUAAGAUCAUGCUUGAUGCAUACCAUCUCAAUAAGGAGGAGACUGACGUCAGGGAAGCUAAGCAGAUGACUCAACCUGUUGUCAUACAAAGGUUGUUCAUCCUAAAAGAAACUAUUGAAGAGGAAUACUUAGAUAAAACCACCUUUCAAACAGAGACAGAAGAGGAUGCUAAAUCAGGAGACUUGUGAUGUUCUGUUCAGUUUUUGUUGAUAUCUCUAUUGCCUUUCACUUUUCUGGUAGAUAGUAGUUUGUAAGAUGAUGCCUCAAUUCUGAAUUGUCAAUCAAGCCAACAACCAAACGCUUUUUUCACAUCAUAUUCUUGAAGAGCAAGGGAAACUUAGAAGAAAUUUUCCAUGAUAGUUUCUGUUGGAGGUCUAAUAUUUCUCAUGUAGGAAAUCACCUGACAUUUUUAGGUUUUUUUUCCUUCUUUCCUCUUGGAGGAGGGUUGAUGCAGCCAAGGAAAAAUUCAUAGUAGAAGCUUAGGAUUAUGGUUCAAUUUUACCGUUGAGUUUAUAGGGAAAUUAUAAAUUACUUUCUAGUUUUAGAGUUUUAUUUACGUGUCUCUUUAUAGUGUUAUUAAAUAAUAUGGAGUUUAAGAAAGCAAACAUUUGGUCUUGUAUUCAUCUUUGAGGGAUUAAUUUUUUCUUUUAAUAUUUAUAAACAUUAUGC